Molecule: ribosomal RNA, 459 nt
Filed under: uncultured bacterium
Lineage: Bacteria
Description: partial 16S ribosomal RNA
Rfam family: Bacterial small subunit ribosomal RNA
Source: RNAcentral
CCUACGGGAGGCAGCAGUGAGGAAUAUUGGUCAAUGGGCGCGAGCCUGAACCAGCCAAGUCGCGUGAGGGAAGAAGGUCCUAUGGAUUGUAAACCUCUUUUGUCGGGGAGCAAAAGACGCCACGCGUGGCGUUCCGAGAGUACCCGAAGAAAAAGCAUCGGCUAACUCCGUGCCAGCAGCCGCGGUAAUACGGAGGAUGCGAGCGUUAUCCGGAUUUAUUGGGUUUAAAGGGUGCGCAGGCGGAAGAUUAAGUCAGCGGUAAAAUUGAGAGGCUCAACCUCGUCGAGCCGUUGAAACUGGUUGUCUUGAGUGAGUGAGAAGUAUGCGGAAUGCGUGGUGUAGCGGUGAAAUGCAUAGAUAUCACGCAGAACUCCGAUUGCGAAGGCAGCAUACCGGCGCUCAACUGACGCUCAUGCACGAAAGUGUGGGUAUCGAACAGGAUUAGAUACCCUAGUAGUC